CAGCCUGAGAGAGUGGAAGGUGUCCCUGCCAUGGCAGGGGUGGAAUGAGAUGAUCUUUCAGAUCUCUUCUUUCCCAAACCAUUCCAUGAUUACCACAAGGACAUAAAAUGCACCUUAAAGGAGAGGAUCACUAUGACACCUGUGAACCGAACAUGUGUGUCUUGUUUAAGCAUAGGACCAUGGGCUCAAAAGGUUUUUAAAUUAUCUACCAGCAGUCUGGUCUUCUUAUUUGUGCUUAUUAGCUCCCUAAAAAGAGAUGUGACUCUGCAAGUGGUGCUUCCAAUGCAUAAGGUAGAAAGAAGAGGUGCAGAAAUGAUUCAAGAGAUGAAAGUCCAUUUUUAAAAAUGGUGGUGCAAGGAGACAUUCAGCUAUGAAAAAGGAGCUGAUAAAGAGAAAAAACAACUGCCUGAAAGAUGAGGGAGAAGACCUUUAAAAUUAUCAGGUCAGUUCAUAUCUUCAUACCCUAUCAGAAAACUAAAACAGAAUUGAUUGAGCAUAGGCAGAUGAUGAAAAAUUCAAGGAACAAUAAAACAAUUUUUUGGUUAUUUCACAAAAUAUAUCACAGUUCAUGCAAAAAUUACAAAGGGGAUACAGGAAUUCUCUGGUAAAUUCCAAGCAGAAAUGUGAAAGGACAAAACAUUUAAAAGGUUCUAUAGGAAAAAAAAAAAAAAAAAAAAAGGAAAAAAAAAGGCAGGACAUUUGUCUUUCCUAUGGGAAUUUCCACACAGUGACAAACUUUUCACUGAACAAGAAUUGCUGUCAACAGGUGCUGUCAGCAUCACAUGAACCAACCUCCAAAAAAAUUUGAGAUUUAGAGGAAUCAGGAAAAGAAAUGUAUGUUAAUUUAAGAUCUAGAUCAGUCUUUCCCCAGUUUCUGAAGUUCCUGGUUUCAGUCUGGAUUAGGACCUAAUCCAUGUUAGAAAAUUAGUAGAGGUACUUAUGAUUUCCUGCAAUUUCAUUCUUUCAGAAUUACAAAAGCACAAAUUCUCUUCUUUUUUUUCAGGUUAAGUCAUUUUCAUGUUGAUAUAAAUCUAUAUUUUGCUCAUUUUUUCACACUGGAUCACUUCAUUUUUUUUUCUUUUUUUUUUGUUGUUUUUUUUUUGUGUUUUUUUUGGUGAAGUGGCCACAGAUGUCUUUUCAAGAACAUUUCAAAACCACAAUUAAAAAAAAAAAAAAAAAAGAAGAAGUGCUUUGUGCUUAGUUACCUUUCUCUAAAGCAUCCUCAGUGUUUUCUGUGAAUAUUAAUUCCUAGCAUUGGCCCUGAAUGUGGGAAAUUUUAAUUUUGAAACGAUGAAAUCAUUCCUUUAUUUUUGGUCCUUGUUCUGGUGUUGUACAUCUGAGAAGGAAAACAUUCUGUAAUACUGUUUCUAGCUCAGAGGCUAAAAUUAGUCUGAAAUUCAGCUUACUAAUUAUCUCACAUAUCCGACUGUACAGCAACCAUUUAAUAAAACUGAGAUAGAAUUCCAUCAGUUUGAAGGGAUGGAGAAAGAGAGGACCAUGGAUGUUUUGAGGGAUGGUGGGACAUCUCUGAGCUACCAGUGAGACACAGACAUGAAAGAACCUAAUAGGAUUCUAAGAUAAAACAUGAAGCAGCAGCACCAUUGAAUAAGAAAAGAGCCCAUCUAGGAUAUCAUCUGUAAUCCAAGCUGAUUUUGUUCACACAGGACAUCUCCAGCAAGAACCAAAAAUCAGGCAUGUAAGUGCAUACAUUAAAAAAAAAAAAAAAGCCUAUUUUUUAGAGAGACAUUUAAAAUUGGUUUCUUUCUUCUGCCAAAAUAAAUGUAGCAAUAAAUGUGUCAAUAAAAAUGUUACAGUGAAUAACAAAAUGUGUAUGUUUGGGUGUGUAUGCCAGGGAAGGAGAGGAGAAUUGCUUAAUUUAAAGAGCUUUACUGGAAUGAGAUUUAAUGGCUUUGAGUUAUCCAUUAAUAAAACUUAGUCUAGACAAUUGGAGGAGAUUAGAAGAUUGGAAGAUGAAGAAUGUCCCAAACAGAGCAUGGGGAAAUCUGCUUGUCCCAAGAUGAAGCCUGGGAUGGAAUUUGCCAUGACUGCAUAACACAGUCUGGGAGUUUGGGAUGCUUUGGACAUCAAAUUCAAGAAAAAAAAAAUUAUAUAUAUAUAUUUGUUAAGAUUUCUUGGAGCUUAUAUUUUGUUGAUAUUAUGCUUAAGAUCCAAUCAUUAAUUGUAGAGUUUAGUAAAUUUUUGUCCAGCAGGUUCUUCUUUGGUGUAUCUAUUUUCUUCUGAGCUUCUCCUUGCUGCCAGGCAGAAAACAGCAACAUUCUAAGUGCAAAGGCUUAGAAAAAACUAAAGUGCUUAAUUGGGAUCUGCUGUUUGCAUGCUCAGGAUUAUGAACCCUCUCCUGGUUUGAGAAUAAUAAAGAAUUAUGGUAACAACCAGAUUGGCAAUGUCCAGGGGCUGUUUUCCUUUGCUCUGUGCCACUUGGGAGUUUAUUUAUGAGAGCUGUCCUGCCAUGGAAUUUAUAGGAUAUCUGUUUUUCCUCCUUCCCCUUCAUUGUGCCAUAUUGUUUUGGUUGUAGUUUCUUGGGUGUUGGUUUGGUUUGUUUCUUUUCUGAAUUUAGAUUCUGAACAGCAGAAGUUUCAAGAUUAGUCGAGAAAAGCUUAGGGAGUGCUUUUGGUUUUUUAGGGUUUUUGGAGACUAAGAAUAGAUGUUCUGUGAACUCUUCUGAGUAUAUAUUUAUGUUCAUGGAACUGAACUUGAUGACCCAGGUCACUCUUUUCCUAAAUUCUAAUGGAAUCUGCAGUUAUUUUUUGCUUUUAUGUCCCCGUUUCAACUGAGUUUCUGAAAGUUUCACAGCUGGGAGUAAAGCAAAAGAUCAAUUUUCUUUUUUUCUUGUGAGGUUUUUCUCUUUUUUUUUUUCUCCCCCAGUUCUGUGUAAGGAAUCACAAGGACAAAACCCUUUCAGAACUUGGUUGAGGAAGCUCACUUCCUUCCAGAAAAAUGGAAUGUCUAAUUUGGCACAGUUCUUGCAUUUAUUUGCAGUAGGUUAACAGUGAUGCACUCUGAACAUAGAAAAUUAAACCAUUUGGUACUUCUUGAAAAUAAGAUCUUCACAUGAAGAUUGUAGUGUGAAGUCUAUUCACAAGGAGAAUUAUAAGAACCUCUGUUCCUGCCUUACAUCAUUGCAAAAUUCAGAAUUUGUCAAUCCACAAAAAACAAAAACAAAACCAAAAAGUCCUGUACAGAGUGAAAACCACUGGGUUUUCUUCUAAUUCACAUCUUAAAUACUCAGGCUAUUUUUUGUCACAGUGUCACUGAAAAAAAAAGCCACCACAAUAUUUCUGCUGGUCACUGUUCUUAGUACAGGUGACCUGAUUUUGUUUAGUAAUGACUGAUGCCACUGCAUUGCUGGAAAUGCAGGUGGACACCUGAUGAAGCAGAAAUGAAUGAAUCUCAUCACCAAAAUAUCAUAGUGAACCUCAGGAAAAUACAAAUGCAACAAAACAGAGGUUUGUUAUUCGAGUUUUCUUGGAGCUGCAGAGGUAUAAAGCAUGUGUAAAGUAAUAUCAUAUUUAUCCAGACAAACCAAUAACACCAAGAGCAUGGGUGAUCAUCUGAAGUUCCAUAAUUUAUUCCUGGACAAUAUUGGUUGGUUUUGUCUCACAGUCACAAAAAUACUCACAAUCGUUUCCUUGAGAACUGAAAUCUACAGUGGGGCCAGGGAAUCUACAGGAGGUCCUUCCUCUGGGAGAAGACACCCCUUCACUCUCAGAAUCAUCACAACAACAUUGCAAAAUAUGCAAAAUGGAUGAUCAUAAAAAAGAUUGCAAUGUUAUAAGGUUCUGGACAGAAUUAAUAUGAUGUACCAGCAGUCCAUCCUCUAAAUAAAUUGGGGACAAUAAUGACUCAGUUCAGUCAUGUCCUGCUGAGGUUAAAGAUAGAAAAUGGGCACAACUGCUCACAGGUGGGUGUAUAACAGACAUUACUCAAAGACAAUGCUCCAGUUUGCUGAUCACUGAGAAAGUCUUGAAUAUUAGAAAUGAAAAUGUUAUUACCUGCUGAAUAUAACCCCAAAGCUCCUUUGUGCUGGGAGCCUGAGUACUGUUCCCAAAAUCAUUCCCUACAGGUCAUAAAGUACCUGCAAAUCUCUCUUAUGUUGCUCCUGGCAACAGGGAACUUAAAAAGUUAAAACUAAGACUGUGAGAGCAAAGCAAGCUAUGAAAUAAUCAUAAUGCAUACAAUUAAUUGUUAUCUUGUUGGGCAUAACCACUUCUAAAAGUCUUGUUUGGAGUAUUACAAGUCAUCCUGAAGCAGAGGCAUUCAGAAGUCAUUAAUAUUUUAACUAUUCUUGACCUUGGAUCUUCUGGAGAAGCCACUGACCUAGUUUGGUCUGUUUCUUCAGCUACUCCAGGAAGUUUUGCAACUGAAUAGAAAAAGAGAAAAAGCUCUUUCCAGAUCUCAGGAGAGAGAAGAGAGAAGGUAUGGAUCCUUUCAAGGGCUGAUGGACAUCCACAAUCUGUAUGACCCACCCCUACAGGACAAGAAUAUGAAAAAUCUUGCAAAUAUUGUACCCACAGACAAGAGGCAGAAAUUGGAGUCAAUUCCUCAACACCCUACUGUGGCAAACAUUCCUUUGAUUGUGGCUUCCUUAUUAUAAGUCAUGAAUUAGGAUUUAGCAUGCAAUUAUAAACAAAAUUGAAUCCUAGAAGAACCCAUAAGUAGCAUUCAAAUCUCAAAUUAAAAAUUACAAUUAUUCCUCAUCUAGAUCAAGUUUAUUCCUUCAGUCUGACGUUUUACUUCUCUUUCUUCUGGACAGUGGGAUUAUCUUGAUUAAAUCUGUGAUUCUGUGAUUUCUUUUGAGUUUUUUUUUUUUCCCUAUGCUUUGCACUUACUGGGGAGGGGGAAAAGAAUAUUGGCAUCUGCAAAGCAAUUGACUGUGCAGCCUGAUCAUUUGCUAAGCAUUAUUAAAAGCUCCCUGAAAUCACUCCAGUGCUUUGCCCUUUACAAGCCAUCAGCCAUCAAUUCAGACCAUCAAAUGUGAUUACCAGCACUCCUCCUGAAGCUACUUCCAAGCCAUUAGGCUGAUCGAAAAGCUGUGUCUUUCUCUUCCUCCCAAGUGCAUGUAAAUCCAGCAGACCCUGCUCCUGUGUUUGGGUGGUGAUUCAUUACACUUCUGAAUAGCAUUUGUGGUGUUACAACUCCAAGACGAGUCAGAAUUCAUUAAAUUUUCAGAUAUUGUCCUUAUUUAAGGGAACUUUUUCAGAAAUAGGCCCACAUGUUCCUCUCUCUUCUCUGUGCCUCUAUCCAUUAUGUAUUUAAAAUGUUCUGCUGGUGUGUAAAGAGAUUUAAUGACAGUGGCUUGGAAAAAUACAAUCAGAAAAGAAUAAAACUUUUCUGCCAAAA
Molecule: long non-coding RNA, 5358 nt
Organism: Taeniopygia guttata (zebra finch)
Lineage: Eukaryota; Metazoa; Chordata; Aves; Passeriformes; Estrildidae
Source: RefSeq, a predicted model, not a curated record